CCUACGGGUGGCAGCAGUAGGGAAUAUUGGUCAAUGGAGGAAACUCUGACCCAGCCACGUAGCGUGAAGGAUGAAGGUUCUCGGAUUUUAAACUUCUGUCUCGAGGGACGAAGAAUGACGGUACCUCGUAAGAUAGCCUCUGCUAACUACGUGCCAGAAGCCGCGGUAAUAAGUAGGAGGCGCGCGUGGUCCGGAAUGACUGGGCGUAAAGGGAGUGUACGCGGAUAUAUAAGUUAGAUGUGGAAUCCUGCGGCUGAACCGCGGAAUUGCAGCUGAACCUAGAUAGCUGGAGUGCAGUAGAGGUGGGUGGAAUUCGUAGGGUAGCGGUGGAAUGCGUAGAUAUUAGGAAGAACUCCGGAGGCGAAGGCGACUCACUGGACUGCAACUGACUCUGAGGCUCGAAAGUGUGGGGAGCAAACAGGAUUAGAUACCCUUGUAGUC
This 441-nucleotide ribosomal RNA is filed under the name uncultured bacterium. Its description in RNAcentral is "partial 16S ribosomal RNA". It matches the Rfam family "Bacterial small subunit ribosomal RNA", at positions 338 to 795 of the family's 1533-position model. The record is from RNAcentral.